CGGCAGCUUACACAUGCAGUCGAGCGGUAACAGGGGGUGCUUGCACCCCGCUGACGAGCGGCGGACGGGUGAGUAAUGCAUAGGAAUCUGCCCAGUAGUGGGGGAUAGCCCGGGGAAACCCGGAUUAAUACCGCAUACGCCCUUUGGGGGAAAGCAGGGGAUCUUCGGACCUUGCGCUAUUGGAUGAGCCUAUGUCGGAUUAGCUAGUUGGUGGGGUAAAGGCCUACCAAGGCGACGAUCCGUAGCUGGUCUGAGAGGAUGAUCAGCCACAUCGGGACUGAGACACGGCCCGAACUCCUACGGGAGGCAGCAGUGGGGAAUAUUGGACAAUGGGGGCAACCCUGAUCCAGCCAUGCCGCGUGUGUGAAGAAGGCUUUCGGGUUGUAAAGCACUUUCAGUGAGGAGGAAAACCUUCUGGUUAAUACCCAUGAGGCUUGACGUUACUCACAGAAGAAGCACCGGCUAACUCCGUGCCAGCAGCCGCGGUAAUACGGAGGGUGCAAGCGUUAAUCGGAAUUACUGGGCGUAAAGCGCGCGUAGGUGGUUUGAUAAGCGAGAUGUGAAAGCCCCGGGCUUAACCUGGGAACGGCAUUUC
Molecule: ribosomal RNA, 595 nt
Filed under: Marinobacter sp.
Lineage: Bacteria; Pseudomonadati; Pseudomonadota; Gammaproteobacteria; Pseudomonadales; Marinobacteraceae
Description: bacterial SSU rRNA
Rfam family: Bacterial small subunit ribosomal RNA
Source: RNAcentral